CGGCCAAGUCAAUGGCUUCCUCCACAGACAUCCCGCUGUGGUAAUGCCUAUCCAUCAUUGAUAAGGAGAAGUAGGAUCCAUAGCCAAAUGCACCCUUCUCGAUUUUAUGACAAGUCGCGAUGUAAUCAAUGUAGUACAGAGAUGGUCCAAUAUCCUUGUCGUACCCCGCUAAUAGAAGGUUAACCGAGUAAGGAUUCUUCCGGAGAGCGGUGGCCAGCUCCCCGCGCGUGAAGUUGGCGGUGGCGGCAGUGGACAGCGGGAUCCCAUUCCGGAACUGGUAGAGGUGGACGUUCUUCUGGAUGUACUCCGUGAACUGAACCCGGUCGCCGCCCUCGCCGGAGGCGCCGAGUAGCUUGUGGGAGUCAAGGAUCAUGAUCUUGUCCUCGUUGGUCUUGUGGACGAGGAUGCUGUUCACGGCGGAGGAGUCGGCGGCGAUCAGCGCGAAGCCAUCGCCGACGAGGCCGAAUACGCACUCCAUGGUGUCGUUCUGAGGGGAAGGUUGGGCGAGGGGGGAGAGUUGAAGAGGG
This 527-nucleotide unclassified non-coding RNA is filed under the name Hevea brasiliensis (rubber tree). Lineage: Eukaryota; Viridiplantae; Streptophyta; Magnoliopsida; Malpighiales; Euphorbiaceae. The record is from RNAcentral.